GUGUCCCCUAGGGUUCCUCCAACCACUUCAGUGGGGUUUCUCUCUCUAGCUUGUUUGGGUUGAAUGUAUCAAUGCAUCUAAUUCCUCUCUACUGAAGUGUUUGGGGGAACUCCAGGUGCCAC
RNAcentral lists this microRNA precursor (122 nucleotides) under Nelumbo nucifera (sacred lotus). RNAcentral's name for it is "mir-395 microRNA precursor family". It matches the Rfam family "mir-395 microRNA precursor family". From Rfam's summary of the family: mir-395 was identified in both Arabidopsis thaliana and Oryza sativa computationally and was later experimentally verified. mir-395 is thought to target mRNAs coding for ATP sulphurylases. The mature sequence is excised from the 3' arm of the hairpin. The record is from Rfam by way of RNAcentral. Lineage: Eukaryota; Viridiplantae; Streptophyta; Magnoliopsida; Proteales; Nelumbonaceae.